AACGAACGCUGGCGGCGUGCCUAACACAUGCAAGUCGAACGAGAAAGGGGCUUCGGCUCCGAGUAAAGUGGCGCACGGGUGAGUAACACGUGGGUAACCUGCCUCUAAGAUUGGGAUAACUCGUCGAAAGAUGAGCUAAUACCGAAUAAGACCACAGUUCCCGCGGGAACAGGGGUCAAAGGUAGCCUCUGCUUGCAAGCUAUCACUUAGAGAUGGGCCUGCGCACCAUUAGCUAGUUGGUAGGGUAACGGCCUACCAAGGCAAAGAUGGUUACCUGGUCUGCGAGGAUGAUCAGACACACUGGAAUUGAGACACGGUCCAGACUCCUACGGGAGGCAGCAGUGGGGAAUAUUGCGCAAUGGGCGAAAGCUUGACGCAGCAACGCCGCGUGAGUGAUGAAGGCCUUCGGGUCGUAAAGCUCUGUCGGGAGGAACGAAUGCUCCUGAGGUUAACAGCCUCGGGAGGUGACGGUACCUUCAAAGGAAGCACCGGCUAACUCUGUG
Molecule: ribosomal RNA, 503 nt
Filed under: uncultured bacterium
Lineage: Bacteria
Description: partial 16S ribosomal RNA
Rfam family: Bacterial small subunit ribosomal RNA
Source: RNAcentral